AUAUAUACGAUGAGCGAGAGCAAAAAGUGUGGCGUCUACUUUUUCAGAGAGUCCGUGGCUGGUGAGAACGGAUAAAGCGGUCAGGCGAAUAUAUCACUCGUGAGUACUUUUCCUGAAAAAAGUAAGGAAAAGCGGAUAUCCCGUUAUCGAUACACCAAAGGAUAAUGCAGGGUGGUACCGCGUACAAACGCCCCUGUU
This 198-nucleotide non-coding RNA is filed under the name Megasphaera sp. RNAcentral describes it as "T-box sequence". It matches the Rfam family "T-box leader". From Rfam's summary of the family: Uncharged tRNA acts as the effector for transcription antitermination of genes in the T-box leader family. Lineage: Bacteria; Bacillati; Bacillota; Negativicutes; Veillonellales; Veillonellaceae. The record is from RNAcentral.